CUCACUUCCUGGCCUUUCACUUCCUCCUCUGCUCUCCAUUCGGUGGUCCAUGGUGGCUGAGGUGAUUGCGAUGAGCUCCAUUGUUUCGCCAUAAGCAAGUAAAGCCUUCAGCGGAUCCUGAACACAUCACCGGCGCACCACAGAUGCUCCAGUGAGCACAGAGCCUCCUCGUCUUUCUCCUCACUGGGAGGACGCUCGCUGUUCGGGACCUGUGGCUCAACUCUGGACAGUAAGAUAAGUGCAGGAACACUGUUGCUUCGCCUUCCCUCGUUGUGCGGUGGCUGUUUUGCUUGGGACUGCCCUGUCGCCCUGCUACAUAGACUAUAGCUGCUUCGCCCGCUGCUCUCUGCUUCGCUUCCUACUUCGCUCGCUAUCGUGACUGUUUUCUGCAAGUUACUGCUCGGCCCCCGGUCUUUGUCCCUGAGCGGCCGGCUCCAGCGGCAGUUGCCUAGUCGGGACUGUGUGUGGAUGAGUGAGUGUUUGUGAGGACCGAGGGGGUGGAUGAAUGGUCAUACAACACUAACUGGCUGUGCGUGGAUGAGCGUGAGUGUGUGUGUAAGGGGGGUUGUAUGGGAUCAGGUAAUUUUGUUUUCUUUGAGUGUUGUAUAUUUUUUUGGAAUUAAUUGGUUGGUCAUUUAUCAUUUAGUUUGCAUGUUAAUUGAAUGAUUAUGUCCAUUUGAUUUUGUAUCUCUGGCCAGAGACCCUGUUUCUUUGCUUACUCUUGUUUGUUUGUUUUUUGGUUUUGUUACGUUACCAAUUAUGAAAUAGUCUAAUGAUUUUUGUUUCCUAUUUUCUAUUUGAGUUUCAGCCCUAGGCUGUUAGUAUUUUGUGUUAGGACAUUUGUUAUAAUUCUUUUUACGAUUUUUGUACUUGCAUAUUGUGUUACUGAUUGUGUUCUCCCCCCUCCCUUUAGUUGCUGAGAGCCAACGGUGGUGGUGUCCUGGGUGGUGGUUUCCUUUCGUGUGUUGUGUGAUCCUGGAUUUUGGUUUUCUUUGCACUUCAUCUUUUUUUUGCUGUGUGCCAUGUACAAGUGGGGUGCUCCUUAUUUAAUUUGGACUUCCUUCCCCCAGUUUUCCCCUCACUACUGGUAAGCCUUAGCACUGGAGCAGGGUGUUAGCACUUUAGUUCUCUUUUGUCAUUUUUAAUGUAUUGUGACCAACUAAAUAAAUUUGUUAAAUAUUUGUUAAACAUUGAA
Long non-coding RNA from Thunnus maccoyii (southern bluefin tuna), 1195 nucleotides. RefSeq lists it as uncharacterized. The transcript has 3 exons. Lineage: Eukaryota; Metazoa; Chordata; Actinopteri; Scombriformes; Scombridae. The record is from RefSeq and is a predicted model, not a curated record.